Molecule: ribosomal RNA, 915 nt
Filed under: uncultured archaeon
Lineage: Archaea
Description: bacterial SSU rRNA
Rfam family: Archaeal small subunit ribosomal RNA
Source: RNAcentral
UUCCGGUUGAUCCUGCCGGAAGCUACCGCUAUUGGAGUUCGAUUAAGCCAUGCGAGUCGCGAGUCUUAGGGACUCGGCGUACCGCUCAGUAACACGUGGGUAACCUGCCCUAUGCUGGGGGAUAACCUCGGGAAACUGAGAAUAAUGCCCCAUAGUUCACCACACCUGGAACGGUGGGUGGAUGAAAGCUCCGGCGGCAUAGGAUGGGCCUGCGGCGUAUCAGGUUGUAGGGGGUGUAAUGUACCCUCUAGCCAUCUACGCGUACGGGUGUUGAGAGACAUCGCCCGGAGAUGGAUUCUGAGACACGAAUCCAGACCCUACGGGGUGCAGCAGGCGCGAAAACUUGGCAAUGCGAGCAAUCGUGACCAGGGAACUCCAAGUGCAUCGGGUAAGACCGAUGCUUUUCUUGACUCUUCAAAGGUCUUGGAAUAAGGGGUGGGUAAGGACGGUGCCAGCCGCCGCGGUAAUACCGGCGCCUCAAGUGGUAGUCGCUUUUAUUGGGCCUAAAACGUCCGUAGCCGGUUUGGUACAUUCGUGGGUAAAUCAAGACGCUCAACGUCUUGAAUUCUGCGAGCACGGCCAGACUUGGGACCGGGUGAGGUGUGGGGUACUCUCAGGGUAGGGGUAAAAUCCUGUCAUCCUGAGAGGACCACCUGUUGCGAAGGCGCCACACUAGAACGGAUCCGACGGUCAGGGACGAAGCCUAGGGGCACGAACCGGAUUAGAUACCCGGGUAGUCCUAGGUGUAAACGCUGUGGACUUGAUGUUGGGAGUGCUCCGAGCACCCUCAGUGUCGAAGCGAAGGUGAUAAGUCCACUGCCUGGGGAGUACGGUCGCAAGGCUGAAACUUAAAGGAAUUGGCGGGGGAGCACUGCAACCUGAGGAUUGUGCGGUUUAAUUGGAUUCAACGCCGGG